GAUGAAGAACGUAGCGAAAUGCGAUACGUAAUGUGAAUUGCAGAAUUCAGUGAAUCAUCGAGUCUUUGAACGCACAUUGCGCCCCCUGGUAUUCCGGGGGGCAUGCCUGUCCGAGCGUCAUUGCUGCCCUCAAGCACGGCUUGUGUGUUGGGCCUCCGUCCUCCUCCCGGGGGACGGGCCCGAAAGGCAGCGGCGGCACCGCGUCCGGUCCUCGAGCGUAUGGGGCUUCGUCACCCGCUCUUGUAGGCCCGGCCGGCGCUUGCCGACACAUCAAUCUUUUUUCCAGGUUGACCUCGGAACAGGUAGGGAUACCCGCUGAACUUAAGCAUAUCAAUAAGCGGAGGA
RNAcentral lists this unclassified non-coding RNA (345 nucleotides) under soil metagenome. RNAcentral describes it as "partial contains 5.8S ribosomal RNA, internal transcribed spacer 2, and large subunit ribosomal RNA". The stretch from base 1 to 120 matches the Rfam family "5.8S ribosomal RNA", at positions 35 to 154 of the family's 154-position model. The record is from RNAcentral.